CCUACGGGGGGCUGCAGCGACGAAUCUUCCGCAAUGGGGGAAACCCUGACGGAGCAAUGCCGCGUGUGGGAUGAAGCGGCUACGCCGUGUAAACCACUGUCAGGUGGUAGGAACAAUGACCGCCACCAGAGGAAGGGCCGGCUAACCCUGUGCCAGCAGCCGCGGUAAGACAGGGGGCCCGAGCGUUAAUCGGAAUCACUGGGCUUAAAGGGUGCGUAGGCGGCCGCGCAAGCGUCCUGUGAAAUCCCACGGCUCAACCGUGGAAUUGCGGGGCGAACUGCGUGGCUUGAGGCAGGCAGGGGCCGACAGAACAGUAGGUGGAGCGGUGAAAUGCGUAGAUAUCUACUGGAAUGCCGAUGGUGAAGACGGUCGGCUGGGCCUGUCCUGACGCUGAGGCACGAAAGCGUGGGGAGCAAACAGGAUUAGAUACCCCAGUAGUC
RNAcentral lists this ribosomal RNA (440 nucleotides) under uncultured bacterium. RNAcentral describes it as "bacterial SSU rRNA". It matches the Rfam family "Bacterial small subunit ribosomal RNA", at positions 338 to 795 of the family's 1533-position model. The record is from RNAcentral.